GCUGACCUAGCUCCGUGGGGCAGCAAAAACGCCUUGUUCGAGCCACCCAUCCUUGGGCCUGCCUUCAUCUGCGAUGUCAGCACCAAUGUAUUAUUUUUUAUUUUUACAACGCAUCCUGGGCGGGUGUAUGCAUUGCGGGGGUGGGGGUUGAGCAGAGGAGAGGAGGGGUUGGUAGUGAAGCCUAGAACCCUCCUUCCUCUCCCUUCCUGCCAGGGUUGCUGUGCAGGGAGUGUCGGCCACAUUUGGCGCACUGUCCCAGGCCCGGGCGAAGAUGGCCAGGGGAAAUGGGGCUUAGGGAUUGCUAAGCAAACGGCACCACUGGUGGUCUACUACCGUCAGCAGAGGUUUCAAAUUAUAGUUACACAGCCUGCCCCUACAAAGAGGUUAAAGAGAAAUUCACCCAAAUGUUCUUCCAGAACGUGAGGAAACAUUUUUAAAAAGAAAUAGAAAGCUGUAACAAGGACAUGGGCAUUCUGGAGGUCAUGAUUCCCACUAACGUUGCUUUUGUCCUCAGAACACGGAGAGUGCAUAUAGUUUUUAUGGCCUAGCUCAGGACUUCAUUUACACUUGCAAGUCUUAUUUCUGUUUCAUAAAUGUGUGAGUAUUCUCUCCUCAGUUUACACUGUGAAUUUCUUGAGGUCAAA
Molecule: long non-coding RNA, 644 nt
Filed under: Lynx canadensis (Canada lynx)
Lineage: Eukaryota; Metazoa; Chordata; Mammalia; Carnivora; Felidae
Description: lncRNA (ENSLCNG00005006027.1)
Source: RNAcentral